AAUCAAUAUCUACUUCACCACCCAUUAACAACUUGGAAAACGGUUUUCUUGGGUAAGACUUAAAUGAAGCAAAGUGCAACAUGGUUUCUAAAGGCCUACAAUUUUUAGUGGGAAUCUGCACAAUUAAACUGCAGUGCCUCAUGUUGUAAACUUCAUCUCUGGCUAUGCAAAACCUCUGAGAAGCACUUCCUUGUGUCAAUCUAAAUGCAGUUUCAUUGAUAUUAUUCAGAAAGUCUUCUUUCUGCCUACAUAUCUCACAAUUUCACUAGUUUCCUGCCCUCAAUUUCAUUCAAAACUUCCUUUUGUUUCUUCAUUUCCAGUCAUUACCUCAUGAAUUCUACUAAAUGGCUACAACUUCUAAUGGAUAUUAUCCAUUCCCUCAGUUUUACAUAACAGAAAGUGCACAGAUUCCAGAAAGAAUGAAGUUUCCUGUCUUUCUCCUUCCAAAACUCUCCAAUCUCAUAAUAAAAAUAUUGAAAAUAAUGUCUGAGUUUGGCUAUGAACAAGAUGUUUUCAGUAUCAAAAUACAAUGAUUGAAUACAGAUACGUGAUUAAGUAUUAACAGGAAAACAGUUUACUGUCGCUUACCUGUAUUACCCUUAACAAACUCUUAUUCAGGCAACCUUGAGGAAGAUGAAUUGGUGGAAGAGGAAGAAGGGCAUGCAAAGAGGUACAUAAUAAAUUCCAUGAAACAUAAACAAGAAAGUGAAAACCUGGGCCUAAAUAGAUAUGAGGAAAAUCUAUGGGCAGCAUUUCCCUCAAGCACAAAAGUAAGUGUACAGGGAUGAUUCAAUUGGAAGAGUUUGUUAAGGGUAAUACAGAAGGAGUCACCUAAAUGGAAAGAAGAACAGGAGAAGGAAGAUACUAGAAGGAAGCUGCAAACGACAGUUUUGGGGGAUGUGAAACAUUCUGUUUCUAGUAAUAAACAUCAAGUCCGUAAAGUUUCAGAAGACACAGCUUAUGCGAGAAAAGCCCAACCCACAGUAGGAGCAGAGAAAAAGGAAGAGUCUGAUUCUCCCUGGGAUUCUGAGCCGUGUUCUGAAGGUCCGAGGAAAGCAUCUCCUCCUGUGUUUCUCCCACCUGCAGUUGAACAUGGAGUACGCUUGCAGAGUGUUUCAGGGGAGCACAACAAGGGUGCUCUGCCAGCAGUAGGAACAGAGAAAAAGGAAGAGUCUGAUUCUCCCUGGGAUUCUGAGCCGUGUUCUGAAGGUUCGAGGAAAGCAUCUCCUCCUGUGUUUCUCCCACCUGCAGUUGAACAUGGAGUACGCUUGCAGAGUGUUUCAGGGGAGCACAACAAGGGUAAUAUCUCAUAGAUUGGAUUUGUCUGUGUUUAUAGACAAGUGAACUUUUUCUUUUGUUUUCCUUGUUAGUCCUGUUGUUCAGUGAGUAUGUGCUGUAGCAAUGAAGUGCUUGGCUGAUGUUAAUUAACAGCAGUGAACACUGAACUUGCUGGCCUGCUUGAUUAGUCCAGGCGGUUCUUGCGUUCAUUAUGUAUACUUUUUGGAUAUGUGUUUGUUCGGGUGUUUUUCUUUGCUUUAAGUGGUUGCUUAAAGUGGUGGGAGUGGUAUCUGGUUUAAGAUUUAGCUGUGAACCCUAGCCUGCUGUGGUAGAGAAGGUCUGCAGCUUUUGUUGCUUUUCGUUCUUUCCUAAAGGUCACAAAUGGUGGUGCUGGGUUCCUAAUGAUUAUGUAUGAUGCAAGUUUCUUUAUUAAUUUUGUUGCUGUGUUCUCCUUGAUCUGCACAAAACAAGUAGGUAGUCUAGUGUGCCUUGUGUGUGACACUAUUGAUUCCCUUUCUAAUGGGUACUAUCAGAUUGAAAAGCUGUGGUUUUUCAGGGCUUCAGCCAAGAGCUGACCUGAUUCAAAGUCAGAGAAGACUCUUCCAGUGCCUCACCUUGUUCAGUUGUAAAAUGUAGGAGAUCUCUCCUGUGCUACUCGUUUGUAUGCUUGAGAGCAUGACCUCAGAGAGAGGUGGGUGCUUAGGUACUCACCCCAGGGUCUCAGAGCAGAAGAUAGUAUGUCCGUCUCCAGAGGAUAUCUUGUUGCUGUAGAUGUUUUCAGAGCUCGUGUAGCUAUUGGUCAGUUGCUGCUCAGAAGGUGUGGAAGCAGCACUCACGGUGCAUUCACUUUUCUCUUAGUGCAUUUUAUGUGCAAAGAGUUUAUUUUGGAAAAGCAUGAAUAGUCAGCACUCAGGCUGGAAUCAGCAGUUAUGGUUUUCCAGAGUGGACGCCAUUGCUCCUGUCUGGCUCAUUCCUGUAAAUUUUCCUUGCGUUUCUGUGUGAGUCAAUCCUGAGUUUGUUUUACAUAAUGGAGUA
Molecule: long non-coding RNA, 2313 nt
Filed under: Coturnix japonica (Japanese quail)
Lineage: Eukaryota; Metazoa; Chordata; Aves; Galliformes; Phasianidae
Description: lncRNA (ENSCJPG00005006251.1)
Source: RNAcentral